Molecule: long non-coding RNA, 102 nt
Organism: Gopherus evgoodei (Goodes thornscrub tortoise)
Lineage: Eukaryota; Metazoa; Chordata; Testudines; Testudinidae
Exons: 3
Source: RefSeq, a predicted model, not a curated record
GAGUUAUAGAUUACAAGAGUGAGUGGGUAAGGUUCUGUUGCCUACAAUGUGCAGAAAGUCAGACUAGAUAAUCACGAUGGGCCCUUCUGACCUUAAAGUUUG